UACGAAGGGGGCUAGCGUUGCUCGGAAUCACUGGGCGUAAAGGGUGCGUAGGCGGGUCUUUUAAGUCAGGGGUGAAAUCCUGGAGCUCAACUCCAGAACUGCCUUUGAUACUGAGGAUCUUGAGUUCGGGAGAGGUGAGUGGAACUGCGAGUGUAGAGGUGGAAUUCGUAGAUAUUCGCAAGAACACCAGUGGCGAAGGCGGCUCACUGGCCCGAUACUGACGCUGAGGCACGAAAGCGUGGGGAGCAAACAGGG
This 255-nucleotide ribosomal RNA is filed under the name uncultured bacterium. Its description in RNAcentral is "partial 16S ribosomal RNA". It matches the Rfam family "Bacterial small subunit ribosomal RNA", at positions 524 to 777 of the family's 1533-position model. The record is from RNAcentral.